CUACGGGUUGCUCCAGCUACGAAAACUCUACAAUGCACGCAAGUGUGAUAGGGGGAUUCCAAGUGCUUUACUAAGGUAAAGCUUUUGCUAAAUCAAAAAAAUUUAGCGAAUAAGUAGUGGGCAAGACCGGUGCCAGCCGCCGCGGUAACCCCGGCGCUACAAGUGGCGAUCACGUUUAUUGGGUCUAAAGCGUCCGUAGCUUAUGUUGUAAAUCUCUUGUGAAAUUGUUAAAUUAAACUUAACAGCAUGCAAGAGAGACUGUAACAUUAGAGACUGGUAAGGGGCAGAAGUUUUCCAAGGGGAGCGGUAAAAUGUUAUAAUCCUUGGAGGACUCCCAAUGGCGAAGGCAUCUGCCUAGGACGGCUCUGACAGUGAGGGACGAAGGCUAGGAGAACGAUCGGGAUUAGAUACCCCCGUAGUC
This 421-nucleotide ribosomal RNA is filed under the name uncultured archaeon. RNAcentral's name for it is "partial 16S ribosomal RNA". It matches the Rfam family "Archaeal small subunit ribosomal RNA", at positions 323 to 746 of the family's 1478-position model. The record is from RNAcentral.